CUCAAACAGUAUGUCUGUAUAUAAGGAUGCAAGUCAGCUGCUGCCUUGGGCACAUCGUUUCUAUGGUUGGAAGCGUAGUGUACUAAUGCUUGGAAUGCUGCUGCACCAUCAGCAGCAGGCUUAAGUUCAACAGGCAACAUGGGCUUCUUCCUUUCCUAGUGAUUAGACGGCCGGGCUGAAUGCGUGGCACCUGGCUGACAAUGGAUUAAGCAGCAAGAGAGACACACACACAGAGCGAGCCCUUCAGCGAAGAUACUGCACCGUCUGCAUCCCUGACGCUUUAUCAGCCACCAGCACUCAACUGCUCUGCGCAGCAGCAGCGUUUCCUCCUUACCACUGGAUCUCUGUAAUGGAGGGGAGCAGCAGCCAGAUGGUACAUUACUAGUUAGAUCCUUUCUAGUCUGGUAGCUCCCCCCCCAUCGCGCACCUCUCACUUGCUUGAGAAGUUGCCUGUUCUCUCCUGAUGUGAAUCACCUCCGAUUAGAGGGGACCGCGGCUCUGUAGUUAGGAAUUGCCAGCUCGCAAAAGUUUCUAGGCAGGAAGCUGGCUCCACGCAACUGGGGUGGAGGAGGAGGAGGAGGAGGAAAAAAAAAGUUUCGCUCACUUCUCUCCUUGGCGGAGCCCCUCCCCGCUCCGAGGGGAGAGCUAGAGAUGCUGCUACUUGCAACAGGCUGCUAUAGUAGCAGCGGCAGCCCGAGUAACACGUCCCCAGGAGACUAGCAGGAGCAACACGUGAUGUGUCUACUUAUCAGGGGAGAAGCGGACGAAGGGAAGUUACUGUGGAGUUGAUGAACUUUGCACAUCCACAGAAACGCCAUUUUGAUUCCAUUUUCCGGAACAACUUUGCGUCUCUUUCCCCCCCCCUUCACCAACCCAUCAUCAGCGCAUCAUGUCUCGACGCAAACAGCCCAGCCCCAGCAAAAGCAAGCACUCUCUACCAACCAGCAGCACCAGCAGCAGCGUUUUGCCUGCAGCAGGACCUGAUGCUCAUCCAUAUUAAACCGUCUGAGCUCAGGAAUCCGGCCAGAUCAUCUCCCCCUCCUGCUGCAAAGUUUAUUUUUAACCAGCAACCACCGCAAUUUGGAUACGGCUGCGAGGAAGAAACCUCUUUUAACCCAACUCAUCCCUUCCUCCUACACUACAGACUCCCCUUUCCCUUAGCCUUUUUUCAUUUUUAUUCCCCCCCCUUUUUGGGGGGGGAGGAGUUGGAUUUAAAAAAACGUGAGAUGAAGGCUCCUCUUUCAAGGUAGAAAACGUUUUAUUCUGUACAUCUCUUUGCUAACUUUUCAGCUUGUUUCGUUGAUGAAGCAUCCAUGUGUGUCUUUAAUUUGCACUUUGAUACCUCUCUUCUCAACCCCGCUCCGCCCUUGGGAGGGAGGUGCGGAC
Molecule: long non-coding RNA, 1386 nt
Organism: Gopherus agassizii (Agassiz's desert tortoise)
Lineage: Eukaryota; Metazoa; Chordata; Testudines; Testudinidae
Source: Ensembl